UGAACAACAAAAUUUUGUAUCUUACAUGCAAAGUAUAGACAAAUGUCUAAAAUUCUCUUAUUUGUUUAUGGUAUUAUCCUCUUCUAUUUCUAAUUUCUCAUAACUUACGGUUGUUUGGUCAAUAACAUGUGCUCGUUUAACGAGCAAUGUCCAAAUUUUCUAUGUGGUAUCGGUGGAAUUGGAGUGUGUGUUUCGAAAUGUUGUAUUUGUCAAUAUGAUAUUUAAAUAAAAAAAUCUUAAAUUUUGUUUUUGUAAAAAAAAAUUUAGAAGAUAUGAAUAAUUGCAACUUCACUACCUAAUUAUAGCAAGCUCUCUUUCAAUAAAUGAUAGGAAUAUGGCCAUUGGCCAUGCCAUGUAAUCCCUUGUUCAAACUCCUCUUUUUUUCUUAUAUGUACCCUUUUUUCAUUUAUUUUAUUUCGAUUUGUUUUAUGUUUAUACCGCACGAUCAUCACAUGGUUUCUCUACCGAGAUCACAAGACAAUAGUUACAUGCUAUAUGUCUUUUUUUUAAAUUCUUUUUAUAUUUUUUAAUUUUAUCGUUUAUUUAUGUUGUAUUAUUAGGCUUAGUCAACUAGGUUUUACAAAUGGGACGUCGAGGAAUACCAAUCUUACAAAAAUACUAAAAUUUCUAACUUCUAAAUGCUACACCCGCUUAGUCAAUUUUCAUAACAUGUCCAUUACCCAGAUAAAUUCAAAUAGCUAGCAAUCACUUCAUUAAUCAAAUAUCUACAAAUGGAAUAUUUAGCAGAGUACACUCAACGCAUACAUAAAUACUCAUAAUACAAUUGUUGAUACUUAAUUUUGUCCGCUACCUUUAAAGUUUUCUGAAAAAUAAUAAAUGUAAAAAAGUUAAUAAUAAUAAUGAUAAAAAUAAAAAUAAACAGUUAGGUUGUUGACACCCAAUUUUGUCAGCUCUUCUCUUUUUAUUCGCAGAAAAUAUAAUAAUAAGUAUUAAGGAUAUUUUAGACUUUUUAAUAAAAUAAAAAAGAUAUUAACUCUGAUUUGAUUUAUUGUUUUUUAAAAAAGGUUAAAUAGAAUCAUACCUUAAAUAAUUAUGGUAGGUUUUUGAAAACAUUAAAAAUUACCUUAAUGAUCAUUAAUGAGAAUUAUUGUUUUCUAAAAAAAAUUUAAACCUAAUUUCUAACUAUAAAUAAGAGGACAAGAAAAAUGAAAAGGAGGCAGAAAAGUAGAGAAGAAAGAUCGAAAUCAGGAACUACUAAAAAACCUAUCUAAUACGGUCAUAACUUGAGCUUUGGAUAUCGGAUUGACGCAUAUGAGCAGGCUUUGGAAAGCUAAAAAUCUGAGCUACAACUUUUGUGUUUGAAGAAAAGACCAAUUUCAAACUUUAUUGGGCCUAAAUUGCAGAUUUUGUAAUCUGGACUUUUGUAAUAAUUUUAAUUAGCGGGUCACUUGUUUU
Cicer arietinum (chickpea) is the source of this 1416-nucleotide non-coding RNA. The record is from RefSeq and is a predicted model, not a curated record. NCBI's taxonomy places the organism in Eukaryota, Viridiplantae, Streptophyta, Magnoliopsida, Fabales, Fabaceae.